CGGGGUGCACCAGGCGCGAAAACUCUACAAUGCAGGCAACUGCGAUAGGGGAACAUCGAGUGAUCCUCAUAUUGGGGGUCUGUCCACCCGUCUAAAAAACGGGUGUUAGCAAGGGCCGGGCAAGACCGGUGCCAGCCGCCGCGGUAAUACCGGCGGCUCGAGUGGUGGUCGAUAUUAUUGAGUCUAAAGGGUCCGUAGCCGGCUUUGCAAGUCUCUCGGGAAAUCCAGCGGCUUAACCGUUGGUCGUCCGGGGGGUACUACAUUGCUUGGGACUGGGAGAGGUAGGAGGUACUCAGGGGGUAGGAGUGAAAUCCUGUAAUCCUUUGGGGACCACCGGUGGCGAAGGCGUCCUACCAGAACAGGUCCGACGGUGAGGGACGAAAGCUAGGGGCACGAACCGGAUUAGAUACCCGGGUAGUCCUAGCCGUAAACGAUGCUCGCUAGGUGUCACAACAGUCGUGAACUGUUGUGGUGCCGUAGGGAAGCCGUGAAGCGAGCCACUUGGGAAGUACGACCGCAAGGUUGAAACUUAAAGGAAUUGGCGGGGGAGCAC
This 553-nucleotide ribosomal RNA is filed under the name uncultured archaeon. RNAcentral's name for it is "bacterial SSU rRNA". It matches the Rfam family "Archaeal small subunit ribosomal RNA", at positions 326 to 879 of the family's 1478-position model. The record is from RNAcentral.